CUUUGCAAUGUGCGAAAGCACGACAAGGUUAAUCCGAGUGGUUCCUGCUAAAGGAACCUUUUGUUAGUCAUAAUAUCACUAUUGAAUAAGGGGUGGGCAAGUUCUGGUGUCAGCCGCCGCGGUAAACCAGCACCUCAAGUGGUCAGGAGGAUUAUUGGGCCUAAAGCAUCCGUAGCCGGCUCUGUUAGUUUUCGGUUAAAUCUAUACGCUCAACGUAUGGGCUGCCGGGAAUACUGCAAAGCUAGGAAGUGGGAGAGGUAGACGGUACUCCGUAGGAAGGGGUAAAAUCCUUUGAUCUAUGGAUGACCACCUGUGGCGAAGGCGGUCUACCAGAACACGUUUGACGGUGAGGGAUGAAAGCUGGGGGAGCAAACCGGG
This 378-nucleotide ribosomal RNA is filed under the name uncultured crenarchaeote. RNAcentral describes it as "bacterial SSU rRNA". It matches the Rfam family "Archaeal small subunit ribosomal RNA", at positions 348 to 728 of the family's 1478-position model. The record is from RNAcentral. Lineage: Archaea; Thermoproteati; Thermoproteota.